CGAACGGGGAGAUUCAUCGUCAGCGGACGCCGGCUUCGCGUCGGUCGGCGAUGUCCCGCGGGGGCCCUCGCGGCUCUCAGCGCGGGCACGCUGCCGUGCGCCGAUGUAUCCGGCUUCGCCGUCGUGCACUUCUCCCCUGGUAGAACGUCGCGACCCGCUGGGUGUCGGUCUACGGCCCGGGUGCGGUGCCUGACGCGCCGCCGGUAAAACGGCGCGCGUCAAACCCCCGGUCGCCCGGCCGGCUGCCCGGCGGUACGCGCAAGGUAUCAGGCCGCACACACAUUGGUGCGUCGAGGCCGUCGCAAGCGCGCGCCACGGUACACGGAGGUACGGACCUAGCGCCGUCACCGGUCCUGGCCCGCUGUUGGUCGUACGGUUAACCUUCGACAGGCCUACGAACGUCCCAGCGUGGGGGUGUCGGGGGCUCGUCUCCCGCGCGCUCUCGCGUUGGCGACCGAUACCGGUCAGCGACGCUACUGCUUUGGGUACUCUUAGGACCCGUCUUGAAAC
Molecule: ribosomal RNA, 510 nt
Filed under: Myrmica nearctica
Lineage: Eukaryota; Metazoa; Arthropoda; Insecta; Hymenoptera; Formicidae
Description: eukaryotic LSU rRNA
Source: RNAcentral